This 1486-nucleotide long non-coding RNA is filed under the name Calidris pygmaea (Spoon-billed sandpiper). RNAcentral's name for it is "lncRNA (ENSCPGG00000011194.1)". Lineage: Eukaryota; Metazoa; Chordata; Aves; Charadriiformes; Scolopacidae. The record is from RNAcentral.
UGUUCCCCUUCUUCCUGGUGCAGGAAAGUGUGGAGAUGAGGAGAAACUCUUUCAAAAGCAAUACAGAACAGAAUACAACAAUAUAGGCAUUUUUCAAUGCAUUGCACUGGAUGUAUGUGGCAGAUGGCAUCCCACAGAAGCUGGAACACCAUUUCCCCAUGUCAGUAGUGCUCACAUCACUGUGCUUGGGUUCUUCGUAAUCGAGUCCUGCUACUCUUACAAUUUUACAACAUGCUAUAUAAAAUUAACACCUAUUCAUUAUUUUACAGGGGUGUACUUGAACAAUCAUGACCAGGAAAAGUCCGGAUUUCAGAAUUACUCUAAUUACUCUUCGUGGUGAUGAUCAUUUUGCUGCUCAUCCUUUUUGCCAUCUUAGUCUACCUUUUGGUUCACAAAUGGCUCAACAGGAGGAGAAAAAGGUCUCCACGGAAAGACAUUGAUGCACCUGCUCCCCAGAAUGCUUCCCACUUCAGUGAAGUGUGUUUGAGUCUUUCUCCAGAACAAAAAGCUCCAGCUGAGGUCAGUCCCUUCAAAUGAAGUCCUCUGUCUUUGGAUAACAUGAGAAUGAACUAAACCAUGGUAAGGCACUAUUUUUUUUUGUUUCAUGAUGGUUUUUGGUGCAGAAGUCAGUGAAGUUGUGUUCACAAACACCCAUUUGGAUUUCUCCCACCUGAUACUGGGUAGUACAGAUGUAUUUUUCAUGUCAUGACAUCUGGAAGUAGGGCUCUGUUAUGGAACUUGUCCCUUGUAAACACAUCACCGCUGCUCUAGUGCUUCUGGAGUCUCUUUAUCUGUGAGGUAAGAAGUCCUACAUAGGAGGUAAGCUGAUUGAGGGGACUGAGAGUGUAGGUCUUGUGUGUGUAAAGCAGUUCUUGCGUAUUGAGAUUACUCCAGACCAUUAUGACUGCUCCAGGUCAAAAACCAGCUGGUUUCAGGCCCCAUUGCCAAAAAGAAGUGUAGAGAUGCUGGAGCAGAACAGGCUGCAGCAUCUGACCUGGAGUGAGUUGGUCCAUGGGGUAAUUCAGAUUGGAAGGGUCCUCUGGAGGUCACCUAUCCAGCUGCUUGCACAAAGCAAGUCUAAUUCUGGCAGGUGGCUCAGGGCCUCGUACCUUUGAAUUUACAGCUUCCUCAUGUUUUGAAAUGUUGUUGUUCUUUCUUCAAGCCCUUGUGGUCACUGGUGCGCAUGGAGACUAAUAGGGGGGUCUCCUGUGGUAUUUGGGCUAUGUGAUGGCAUGAUGUGAGACCUGCAUGGAGAAAUGAAGCUGUGACCCUCCUGUGGACAAGCCACGGGCAGCACAGCCCCUUCCACCCGCUUUCUCUUGACCAGGCUUGGUUCCUGGUGGACUCUGGGUUAGCCAUGUGAUACGUGGUGAUACCCUUAUCACCAGUGGAUCUAGAGACAGGUGCCUUCCCUGAUUGCAGCAGAUAUUUUAAAAGCACUUUGCAAUGAUCUUUGGUUCUUCUGCCAUCGUGUGGCAGACAGAAG